UGAGGAAUAUUGGGCAAUGCCCGAAAGGGUGACCCAGCAACGCCGCGUGGAGGAUGAAGGUCGUAAGAUUGUAAACUCCUGUUAGAGGGGAAGAAUAACUAAGUUUGGAGCUUAGUAUGACUGUACCCUCAGAGAAAGCCCCGGCUAACUACGUGCCAGCAGCCGCGGUAAUACGUAGGGGGCAAGCGUUGUCCGGAUUUACUGGGUGUAAAGGGCGCGCAGGCGGAAUGGAAAGUCAGUGGUGAAAUCCUACAGCUUAACUGUAGAACUGCCUUUGAUACUUUCAUUCUUGAGUUCGGGAGAGAGAGACGGAAUUCCAGGUGUAGCAGUGAAAUGCGUAGAGAUCUGGAGGAACACCGAUGGCGAAGGCAGCCCCCUGGGCUAACACUGACGCUCAUGCACGAAAGCGUGGGGAGCAAACAGGAUUAGAUACCCCAGUAGUCCCUGAGCGGGCUGGCAAGGCGCAU
Molecule: ribosomal RNA, 467 nt
Filed under: uncultured bacterium
Lineage: Bacteria
Description: bacterial SSU rRNA
Rfam family: Bacterial small subunit ribosomal RNA
Source: RNAcentral